Molecule: ribosomal RNA, 253 nt
Filed under: uncultured bacterium
Lineage: Bacteria
Description: partial 16S ribosomal RNA
Rfam family: Bacterial small subunit ribosomal RNA
Source: RNAcentral
UACGUAGGGGGCAAGCGUUGUCCGGAAUCAUUGGGCGUAAAGCGCGCGUAGGCGGCCCGGUAAGUCCGCUGUAAAAGUCCAGGGCUCAACCCUGGAAUGCCGGUGGAUACUGUCGGGCUAGAGUCCGGAAGAGGCGAGUGGAAUUCCUGGUGUAGCGGUGGAAUGCGCAGAUAUCAGGAGGAACACCAAUUGCGAAGGCAGCUCGCUGGGACGUUACUGACGCUGAGACGCGAAAGCGUGGGGAGCAAACAGG